ACGGCUCAGUAACACGUAGUUAACCUAACCUAUGGAUGGGGAUAACCUCGGGAAACUGAGAAUAAUCCCCGAUAGAUCACAAUGCCUGGAAUGGUUUGUGAUUCAAAUGAUUUAUCGCCAUAGGAUGGGACUGCGGCCUAUCAGCUAGUUGGUGAGGUAAUGGCCCACCAAGGCUAUAACAGGUACGGGCUCUGAGAGGAGGGGCCCGGAGAUGGGUACUGAGACACGGACCCAGGCCCUAUGGGGCGCAGCAGGCGAGAAACCUUUGCAAUGUGCGAAAGCACGACAAGGUUAAUCCGAGUGUCUUCUGCUAAAGAAGUCUUUUGUUAGUCAUAGAACCACUGAUGAAUAAGGGGUGGGCAAGUUCUGGUGUCAGCCGCCGCGGUAAAACCAGCACCUCGAGUGGUCAGGAGGUUUAUUGGGCCUAAAGCAUCCGUAGCCGGUUGUUUAAGUUUUCGGUUAAAUCUAUGCGCUUAACGUAUAGGCUGCCGAAAAUACUGGACAGCUAGGGAGUGGGAGAGGUACACGGUACUCAAUAGGAAGGGGUAAAAUCCUUUGAUCUGUUGAUGACCACCUGUGGCGAAGGCGGUGUACCAGAACACGUUCGACGGUGAGGGAUGAAAGCUGGGGGAGCAAACCGGAUUAGAUACCCGGGUAGUCCCAGCUGUAAACGAUGCAAACUCGGUGAUGCAUUGGCUUGUGGCCAAUGCAGUGCCGCAGGGAAGCCGUUAAGUUUGCCGCCUGGGAAGUACGUACGCAAGUAUGAAACUUAAAGGAAUUGGCGGGGGAGCAC
Molecule: ribosomal RNA, 793 nt
Filed under: uncultured archaeon
Lineage: Archaea
Description: bacterial SSU rRNA
Rfam family: Archaeal small subunit ribosomal RNA
Source: RNAcentral